Molecule: ribosomal RNA, 1430 nt
Filed under: Peanut witches'-broom phytoplasma
Lineage: Bacteria; Bacillati; Mycoplasmatota; Mollicutes; Acholeplasmatales; Acholeplasmataceae
Description: bacterial SSU rRNA
Rfam family: Bacterial small subunit ribosomal RNA
Source: RNAcentral
CAUGCAAGUCGAACGGAAACCUUCGGGUUUUAGUGGCGAACGGGUGAGUAACACGUAAGCAACCUACCCUAAAGACGAGGAUAACCAUUGGAAACAGUGGCUAAGACUGGAUAGGAAGAUAAAAGGCAUCUUGUAUCUUUUAAAAGACCUAGUUAAUAGGUAUGCUUUAGGAGGGGCUUGCGCCAUAUUAGUUAGUUGGUAGGGUAAUGGCCUACCAAGACGAUGAUGUGUAGCUGGACUGAGAGGUUGAACAGCCACAUUGGGACUGAGACACGGCCCAAACUCCUACGGGAGGCAGCAGUAGGGAAUUUUCGGCAAUGGAGGAAACUCUGACCGAGCAACGCCGCGUGAAUGACGAAGUACUUCGGUAUGUAAAGUUCUUUUAUCGAGGAAGAAAAGCAAAUGGCGAACCAUUUGUUUGCCGGUACUUGAUGAAUAAGCCCCGGCUAAUUAUGUGCCAGCAGCCGCGGUAAGACAUAAGGGGCAAGUGUUAUCCGGAAUUAUUGGGCGUAAAGGGUGCGUAGGCGGUCUAGUAAGUCAGUGGUGUAAUGGCAACGCUUAACGUUGUCCGGCUAUUGAAACUGCUAAACUUGAGUUAGAUAGAGGCGAGUGGAAUUCCAUGUGUAGCGGUAAAAUGCGUAAAUAUAUGGAGGAACACCAGAGGCGUAGGCGGCUCGCUGGGUCUUAACUGACGCUGAGGCACGAAAGCGUGGGGAGCAAACAGGAUUAGAUACCCUGGUAGUCCACGCCGUAAACGAUGAGUACUAAGUGUCGGGUUAAACCGGUACUGAAGUUAACACAUUAAGUACUCCGCCUGAGUAGUACGUACGCAAGUAUGAAACUUAAAGGAAUUGACGGGACUCCGCACAAGCGGUGGAUCAUGUUGUUUAAUUCGAAGAUACCCGAAAAACCUUACCAGGUCUUGACAUGUUUUUGCAAAAUGAUAGUAAUAUCGUGGAGGUUACCAGAAACACAGGUGGUGCAUGGUUGUCGUCAGCUCGUGUCGUGAGAUGUUAGGUUAAGUCCUAAAACGAGCGAAACCCUUAUCGUUAGUUGCCAGCACGUUAUGGUGGGGACUUUAACGAGACUGCCAAUGAUAAAUUGGAGGAAGGUGAGGAUCACGUCAAAUCAGCAUGCCCCUUAUGACCUGGGCUACAAACGUGAUACAAUGGCUGUUACAAAGGGUAGCUGAAACGCAAGUUCUUGGCCAAUCCCCAAAAACAGUCCCAGUCCGGAUUGAAGUCUGCAACUCGACUUCAUGAAGUUGGAAUCGCUAGUAAUUGCGAAUCAGCAUGUCGCGGUGAAUACGUUCUCGGGGUUUGUACACACCGCCCGUCAAACCACGAAAGUUGGCAAUACCCCAAAACGGUAGCCUAACUCGUUUAUUCGAGAGGGCGCCGUCUAAGGUAGGGUCGAUGAUUGGGGUUAAG